UUCUAGGUGAACCUGCGGAAGGAUCAUUA
This 29-nucleotide ribosomal RNA is filed under the name uncultured fungus. RNAcentral describes it as "partial 18S ribosomal RNA". The record is from RNAcentral. Lineage: Eukaryota; Fungi.